UGAGGUUGGUAGCCUCUAGUAUUAUCUAAAGAAGAAUUUUUGCUGUAAUCUCAUUAAUAUAGUGGAAGAUUAUGUUGGACUACGGUCCCGUUAUUUUUCCCGCUUUGGGUUUUUCAUGUAAAAAUUUGUAUCUCUUGUGAUUGGUUUUUAUUUUGGAUUCAUUAGUUUAUUUUUCUGCUUAUUUAUUUGUGGUGCACAUCCUAUUUUAAUCACACAAAGAAGGAAAAAAAUUUAUUUCCGCUUAAUUUAUAACUGCUUGGUAGUCCCUUUCCCAACAAGAUGAGUGAGUACUUCGAUGAAAAUGGAGAUGAUAACAUGUUAGUGUCUAGCCUAGCUAUUUUGAUAGAUCCAACACCAAUCAUGGCCUCAUUAUACAAGGAAUUGAGCUUAGGCCUACAAAUAAUCGAUAGAUUGAAUCGUAUCUUUAACACAACAAUAUUUUUUAUGAGUAUGUUAAUGUUAAGAUGUAUUCAAGAUCAUUAGGUGGGCAUAAUAUACUAUUAUGAUCAGAUUUGUAUUAAGUAUAUUACUGAUGCUUCAUCUUUCGAAAAUCAUUUCAUGUUGAUAAGUUGAAAAUUGGGUUCAAAGUUCGCAUUGGCUGAGGCUGGGAAAGUAUUUCCUUAAUGGGCUCUGUCCUGCUGUGCAAACUAUUCUUAUUUCUUAUUAUAAUUUAUUGCAGAAAAACUAAAUUCUAAAAAUGAUGACCUUUUUUCAACUUCCGGAUACAGAGAUCAAAUUCUUAAUAUUCUGGGAAAAAAAUCUUUUAUCCACAGUAGAAUAGCGUAUUCAAUGUGUUCCAUUUGCAGACAUUGAAAAGCAUGAAAAAUUUGGAUCUUUUUUAUGUCCUUUUUCUAUAAUUUAUCUAAGAAUAAACAUAUAAUAAAAAUAAUAAUAAAAAUGUCCUUUUAACUUUAAGGAUAAGGAAGGAGGGGAUUGACUAGGGCUCCAU
Molecule: long non-coding RNA, 949 nt
Filed under: Citrus x clementina
Lineage: Eukaryota; Viridiplantae; Streptophyta; Magnoliopsida; Sapindales; Rutaceae
Description: Citrus clementina (C. clementina) long non-coding RNA (CCLE_LNC000263)
Source: RNAcentral